CGAGCCAGCCGUCGCGCCAGCUUCUUCGCUCCUCUCUCUCCAGCCAUGGGGCUCCCCAGUGGGCCUCUCGCGUCCCUCCUCCUACUCCUCCAGGCGCAGGUUUGCUGGCUGUCGUGCGCGGCCUCCGAGCCGUGCCGGGAGGGCUUCGGGGAGGCUGAAGUGACCUUGGAAGCGGGAGGCGCGGAGCUGGAGCCCGGCCGGGCACUGGGGACAGUAUUCCUGGGCUGCGCUGGUCAAGAGUCAGCUCAGCGUAGC
Molecule: non-coding RNA, 255 nt
Organism: Microcebus murinus (gray mouse lemur)
Lineage: Eukaryota; Metazoa; Chordata; Mammalia; Primates; Cheirogaleidae
Source: RefSeq, a predicted model, not a curated record